GACAGAGGGUGCAAACGUUGCUCGGAAUUACGGGGCGUAAAGGGCGUGUAGGCGGGGAGGCAAGUCGGGCGUGAAAUCCCCAGGCUCAACCUGGGAACUGCACUCGAAACUGCCUUUCUUGAGUGCCGGAGAGGAAAGCGGAAUUCCUGGUGUAGAGGUGAAAUUCGUAGAUAUCAGGAGGAACACCAGUGGCGAAGGCGGCUUUCUGGACGGUAACUGACGCUGAGACGCGAAAGCGUGGGGAGCAAACAGG
This 253-nucleotide ribosomal RNA is filed under the name uncultured bacterium. Its description in RNAcentral is "partial 16S ribosomal RNA". It matches the Rfam family "Bacterial small subunit ribosomal RNA", at positions 524 to 776 of the family's 1533-position model. The record is from RNAcentral.